GCUGCUCUUUGCUAGAAAGGGAAUUCUGCUGAGGACUCUUUGCCCUAUCUGCCUAGCUGGUUUCUUCCUUUCUGCUCUCUCAGUAUGAAGAUACUGACAUCAUGAACAUUUGGGAGAGAGAGAACUGCAAAAAUUCCACUCCUGAGCUAACCUGAAUGCUUUUGAGGAAAUGCUAAAUAUUCCAUCUUCUCUGUAGUAACAAUGAGUACAUAAAUUUAGAAAAAAAAAUACUUUUUUUGCUACAAUGUAUUUAUGUGGCAUUUGAUAUAUUCAGCUACACAUUUAAAAAUACACAUCAAUCAUCCUGCUAAGCAACCUAUUUAAAGUGUUAGUUUGUAAUACCAAGUAAUGCCUGUUGGUGGCUAAAUGUACCUGAUGAUGUUUUGUGCCACAUGAUCCCAUUUUGCUGGAGUGAGGAUGUCUUAUAUGAAGGCAGACCCUUUAUAAUACACCAAGUUACUUGUAAAUAGAAAUUGGUAAACUUGAAGCAAUAGGUAGAAAUUGAAAUUAAAAGUCAUGAAAACAAGUCAAGAAAAAGUAAGGAUAUAAAGAAAAUGUAUAAGGUAGAGUUGUGAGAAAUAAAUGGUGAA
Saimiri boliviensis boliviensis (Bolivian squirrel monkey) is the source of this 590-nucleotide long non-coding RNA. RefSeq lists it as uncharacterized. The record is from RefSeq and is a predicted model, not a curated record. NCBI's taxonomy places the organism in Eukaryota, Metazoa, Chordata, Mammalia, Primates, Cebidae.